Molecule: ribosomal RNA, 490 nt
Filed under: uncultured bacterium
Lineage: Bacteria
Description: partial 16S ribosomal RNA
Source: RNAcentral
CACAUAGUUAGCCGGGGCUUCCUCCUUAGGUACAGUCUUUUAUCUUCCCUAACGACAAUAGUUUACAAUCCGAAAACCUUCUUCCUAUACGCGGCGUCACUGCGUCAGAGUUUCCUCCAUUGCGCAAUAUUCCCGACUGCUGCCUCCCGUAGGAGUCUGGGCCGUAUCUCAGUCCCAAUGUGGCCGUUCAACCUCUCAGUCCGGCUACUGAUCGUAGUCUUGGUAGGCCGUUACCCCACCAACUAACUAAUCAGACGCAAGCCCAUCUAUUAGCGGAUUGCUCCUUUCCUAACUGUAUCAUGCGAUACUGUUAGCAUAUGCGGUAUUAGCAAUGAUUUCUCACUGUUAUUCCCCUCUAAUAGGCAGGUUGCUUACGUGUUACUCACCAGUCCGCCACUAACCGCUCUCAAACUAAAGAAUGAGUUAAGUCCGUUCGACUUGCAUGUCUUAUGUGCGCCGCCAGCGUUUAUCCUGAGCCAGGAUCAAACUC